UGCAAGUUGAGCGCUGAAGGUUGGUACUUGUACCGACUGGAUGAGCAGCGAACGGGUGAGUAACGCGUGGGGAAUCUGCCUUUGAGCGGGGGACAACAUUUGGAAACGAAUGCUAAUACCGCAUAAAAACUUUAAACACAAGUUUUAAGUUUGAAAGAUGCAAUUGCAUCACUCAAAGAUGAUCCCGCGUUGUAUUAGCUAGUUGGUGAGGUAAAGGCUCACCAAGGCGAUGAUACAUAGCCGACCUGAGAGGGUGAUCGGCCACAUUGGGACUGAGACACGGCCCAAACUCCUACGGGAGGCAGCAGUAGGGAAUCUUCGGCAAUGGACGAAAGUCUGACCGAGCAACGCCGCGUGAGUGAAGAAGGUUUUCGGAUCGUAAAACUCUGUUGGUAGAGAAGAACGUUGGUGAGAGUGGAAAGCUCAUCAAGUGACGGUAACUACCCAGAAAGGGACGGCUAACUACGUGCCAGCAGCCGCGGUAAUACGUAGGUCCCGAGCGUUGUCCGGAUUUAUUGGGCGUAAAGCGAGCGCAGGUGGUUUAUUAAGUCUGGUGUAAAAGGCAGUGGCUCAACCAUUGUAUGCAUUGGAAACUGGUAGACUUGAGUGCAGGAGAGGAGAGUGGAAUUCCAUGUGUAGCGGUGAAAUGCGUAGAUAUAUGGAGGAACACCGGUGGCGAAAGCGGCUCUCUGGCCUGUAACUGACACUGAGGCUCGAAAGCGUGGGGAGCAAACAGGAUUAGAUACCCUGGUAGUCCACGCCGUAAACGAUGAGUGCUAGAUGUAGGGAGCUAUAAGUUCUCUGUAUCGCAGCUAACGCAAUAAGCACUCCGCCUGGGGAGUACGACCGCAAGGUUGAAACUCAAAGGAAUUGACGGGGGCCCGCACAAGCGG
Molecule: ribosomal RNA, 893 nt
Filed under: Lactococcus lactis
Lineage: Bacteria; Bacillati; Bacillota; Bacilli; Lactobacillales; Streptococcaceae
Description: bacterial SSU rRNA
Rfam family: Bacterial small subunit ribosomal RNA
Source: RNAcentral